This is a long non-coding RNA of Oncorhynchus tshawytscha (Chinook salmon), 469 nucleotides long. The record is from Ensembl. NCBI's taxonomy places the organism in Eukaryota, Metazoa, Chordata, Actinopteri, Salmoniformes, Salmonidae.
UGGAUGUUCCAAAACGUUGUGUCCUGCUGAACGCGCCCCUGUUCUUGACUUUUAGCACUUUUGCGCGUAUCUUGUUUUGACGAGAAACCGCAAAGAAGCUGCCUCCUCGACCUAUUUUAAAACACGGUACAUUUACUGAGACGCAGUGAUGGACCAGAAUAAAGUCUAUGGUUGGUAGUGGGAUCUUCCUUUCUUCAUCACACGAGGGAGGGGUAGCCUGCCUUUACUGCCCUCUUCACAGAUACCUGCCUCCUCCUUGGAGGGAAACAAUCCUCAGUCAUAGGAAAUCCGCCUCUCCUGAUUUGAGGAAAAUGUUUCACCCUGGGAGAGAGAACCAUCAAACGGGACCAAGGACAAGACCCGUAAUAACAAGUGCACAAAACACGCAGCACGAAAGCUGGAACAAAGCACAGGUAGGAGAGAGCGAGGUAAGUUGUCAAACUGUUCGUACCUCCAACACUAGAGGCGC